RNAcentral lists this signal recognition particle RNA (100 nucleotides) under Pseudomonadota bacterium. RNAcentral's name for it is "Proteobacteria bacterium (cold seep metagenome) signal recognition particle sRNA small type". It matches the Rfam family "Bacterial small signal recognition particle RNA". Rfam says of the family: The signal recognition particle (SRP) is a universally conserved ribonucleoprotein involved in the co-translational targeting of proteins to membranes. Archaeal SRP consists of a 7S RNA and homologues of the eukaryotic SRP19 and SRP54 proteins. In most bacteria, the SRP consists of a 4.5S RNA and the Ffh protein (a homologue of the eukaryotic SRP54 protein). Lineage: Bacteria; Pseudomonadati; Pseudomonadota. The record is from RNAcentral.
AGCCGGGUCUUGCGCAAUGGACGAUUUGUAAAGUCCGCCAGGUCCGGAAGGAAGCAACGGUAGCAGAUUAACCCAUGUGCCGCAAGGGUGCCUGGCUAUC